CCAGAAGGCAGGCAGGGGCCGGUCGGGUUCUGUUUUUGUCUCGUGGGUAGGCAGGUGUCUACCUUCUCACCCUCGGUCAGGGCUCACGACUACGUCGUCAUAGUCGGCGGUCGUGGUGUUUGUCCUCCGAAGAUCUUCUGAUCUGGUCUCCUGCUUCGAACGGGCGGAGUCCUUCGUUGCGUUUUAGUUUCGAAGGUCUUUAGCUGCCGUAACUAACGGGAGCGUCCGGUGUCGUGCCUAGCGAACUGGUAUGUACCGUGCGUCGUUAUUCGUGUUCCUAAUACAUUUCAAAAGUAACGUUUUUUCGACCUAAUAGUAUGUGAGAAGGGGACAAAUAUAUGCGACUGUGCCGCUGGGCCUGGUAGAAGGAGUUAGAGUCAGGUCUCAGAGCCUUCCAGUCGAGGAGCCCGGUAGCAGCCGCAGCAGGGAGGAGAAACGGCGGGGGGAAGGAGACCGAUGACCAUCACGGUCAUGAUCAUGAUGGUCAUCAUAUAUUGUUAAGUUAGGGCAGGUGGUUGGUGUGGUUCUUGGCGCUCGCUCGCUCGAGCCCUAGGCCAAACUUUAACGGUACCUCCGCCGGCGGCUCGACCGCGUCGCGGACGCCCGGCGCCGGUUGCUCGCCGACCGCCCCGUCCUCGGCGAGGAGGAGCAGCGGCGCGGCGACGAGCGCGAGGAGCGGCGCGCGCGGCAGGUGCGGCGGCGGCGGCUGCAGCGGCUGGCGCCGGAGGCGUGGCAGGAGUAGUGGGAGCGGUACCGGCGGCAGUUCAACCACGGCCCCCAGUCGCCCAUGUAGCGGCGGCUCUUCUCGUUCCAACAACUCUUCAACGUCAGUCCUUCACGCAGGUCGUUCUUCUUAGACGCUUGGCUCGACGGGCGGCAGCCCUAGGGGCUGUCCCAGUAUCCGCUAGAGGUCCGGGAGUUUCUGUUCCUACACUCUACCGUCCCCUUUACGAGGCCGUGUCACAUGUACGUGGAGUUGCUGUGCUACUUGAGUUUGACGAAACACGAGAAUGUUAAAGUUUAGGAUGAGAUGACAAAAGUGUAAAAGAAGAAGUACAGUUUAUUCGCACGGAUUGAGAUGAGAGACUAAGAACGUCAAUAUAGCGACCCUCGCUCAGACUUCCGGUAAAAAGUGACUAUUUGUUCCGGAUGAGAUACAAAAGUGUGUGUUUAGGUGACGUAGUCCUACAUAAGUUCUCACACCGUGUCAAUCUCCGACUUCAUCAACGUUACUGUCGACGAAACGAACCGUCGUUUCUUUUCCGCAGACCACCUGUUUAAACACCGUUAUACUGCAGUCCGCCUUGACUUUCGUAUAAUAACCGGCAGUUUUGUAGUGCGCUAAUAUACGUCAGUUUCUUCCCUUAGUGUUUCGGGCUUUACUAAUAACGACUUAGUCGAGUAAGACGGAUACUGUUUCGACGGGUUAUAAAGUUAUAAUUUCACGCCGCACAUGGACACUUAUUUCUUAAAGAACGUCUACAUUUUCCUAAGUUUGCCACGUAUUUACCUUUGUGGUAUUACUACCAACCUAGACGUGGUCCCAAAGGGGUACCAAAUUAACUAGGAUAACUCCUUGAACCCCUCAACCGAAGUGUUAUACCAUAAACGAACGUACAACUAGAUACGGAACCACCGAAGCAUAACGGAAAGCGGGCAUUCGAACCCAUGGGAUAAGGAGGAAAACUAAAAAGACAGUUUCCACAAUGCAGGUAGAGUUGCCUACAAGUAUUCAUACCCGAUCGAGGUUUUCCGUGGUCAUGACAGGAUAUGUCCUUAGUACGUUAAUCUUUCGUGGUUAAACAACGACACUGACUUACCUGACCACCCGAGAUAUAAAGGGGAUGAUACCGACCUUCGUCCGGUCCACCUGAUCAGCGUCCUCGAACCCGACGCUACUACAGAGAACCUAACUUACCAAUAAACCUUUCAUGACCAUUCUAGUACCUUCAGAGUUUCUUCUAUGUUUUUCCUUAACUACUAUAGAGUCCAAAUAAACACUAACCCUUCGGUCUGUACUGGCAGCACCGGAAACCCAGCCUGCGCCAGCUGUAUAAACUCCAUUUACUGUAUUACAGUAGUUUUCCUACCGUGGAGUUACGAGAAGUCUCUGGGUUGUCAGACGUGUAGACGCACUGCGAAGUUGUGUGCCGAUAGAUACUCCUUAAGGAGUUCCUGGAGCUCCUAAGGCACCUGUGUCACUUUCGCUUAGGUCCCGGAUAGUCACCCCCCUACCGAGGGUAGAUACCGCGCCGACCCUUCUACGGCCUGUCUCCGUGCCAGUUCCUCAACGAACACCUCAAGUACCUGUCGAGAACGAUUGGUAACUGAUAUGGGGUAACCAAUAGAGAGACAUUGUACAUACUGACAACACACUAGAAGAUAUAAACCAAACCGACGUUUUGUC
RNAcentral lists this ribosomal RNA (2407 nucleotides) under Triticum aestivum (bread wheat). Its description in RNAcentral is "partial small subunit ribosomal RNA". The record is from RNAcentral. Lineage: Eukaryota; Viridiplantae; Streptophyta; Magnoliopsida; Poales; Poaceae.